AUGUGGGCACCUGAUAUCUAUGAGGGUUCACCCACCCCGGUGACAGCAUUCCUUUCUAUUGCACCUAAAAUCUCUAUUUCUGCAAAUAUGUCACGUGUUUCUAUUGUUGCUUCCUAUGGGGGUACAUUACAACAAAUCUUCUUUUUCUGCAACAUUGCUUCUAUGAUCUUAGGAGCACUGGCCGCCAUGGCCCAAACAAAAUUCAAAAGACCUCUAGCUCAUAGUUCGAUUGGACAUGUAGGUUAUAUUCGUACUGGUUUCUCAUGUGGAACCAUAGAAGGAAUUCAGUCACUACUAAUUGGUAUAUUUAUUUAUGCAUCAAUGACGAUAGAUGCAUUCACCAUAGUUCCAGCAUUACGGCAAACCAGUGUCAAAUAUAUAGCGGAUUUGGGCGCUCUAGCCAAAACGAAUCCUAUUUCGGCUAUGACCUUCUCCAUUACAAUGUUCUCAUACACAGGAAUACCCCCGUUAGCCGGCUUUUGUAGCAAAUUCUAUUUGUUCUUCUCCGCUUUAGGUUGUGGGGCUUACUUCCUAGCCCCAGUGGGAGUAGUGACUAGCGUUAUAGGUCGUUGGGCGGCCGGAAGGUUGGUAGACCGAAGGCAGUUUUCUGUGCACCGGACACGUAGCUUACCGAAUCAGUUGCAACAACAGAUGGGAAUGCAUGCUACGAAAGACAGGGUCGAGUCUGAUACAUCAAUCGUCGACUCCAUAUCCUUGUACGAGUUCACAAUCACUACACGAGAUGAACCUGGGUUUGGUGAAUGGAAGUUGGCCUUAGGUGUAAUAGGACUCCCAGUUACUGCGCGCGAUCGUAUACUGAGGUGCUCCCCGUUGGUUGUUGGAACGACGCGAGCCGGGCCGGGCCUCGAUUCCUUUCAAAAAGAUGAAGGGACCGAGGUGACUAAUUCCCCAUCUCAUUUGGGGCGGAAAAUGAAUCGACAUCUCGAUGUGAUACAGCCCUUUCCAUUUUCGUUGGGAAAGAACGGCGAAGUCCAUCCGAACCCUCCAAUGAAGAAAUAA
Molecule: ribosomal RNA, 1020 nt
Filed under: Triticum aestivum (bread wheat)
Lineage: Eukaryota; Viridiplantae; Streptophyta; Magnoliopsida; Poales; Poaceae
Description: partial small subunit ribosomal RNA
Source: RNAcentral